Molecule: long non-coding RNA, 620 nt
Filed under: Elaeis guineensis (African oil palm)
Lineage: Eukaryota; Viridiplantae; Streptophyta; Magnoliopsida; Arecales; Arecaceae
Description: long non-coding RNA (EGUI_LNC078072)
Source: RNAcentral
CUUUUUUCCUUCCUCUACUGGAUCUUCGCCCGAUGCCUCCCCGCAAAGCAUCCAUCCGACGAUCCACGGCCUCCGCGGCCAGAUCUCAGGCUCCGGCCUCACCUCCAGUUUCUCAGGCUCCUCCUUCGGCAACGGUGGUUGGCACGGAGCAAUUCGACCUACUGGUUCAGCAGGUCAGAGGCCUCACUGAAGCGGUGCAGGCCAUGCAGCAGCAGCAACAGCCGUAGGCGUCAGUGCGACUGGAGAGAACGUCAUCGGAACUCCAAAAUUCGACGGUAGGACGGGUCACUUGGGCCAGUCGCCCCGCCUUUCCCGAAAAGACGAAUCCGAGGGUGGAGAGCCCUUAGUCAGAUUACGAUUCUACUCUUGGAAGAUCUCUACCUCCAUUCUGCUAGAAGACCCUCGAGACCCGUAGUCGAGAGGAUUUCCUGGAUCGAAGGCUCCAGGAGAUGAACCGGCGGAUCGAAGAACUCCGCCACACUCCCCCCGCUUAUGGUGAGGACAUUUGUACUGAUCCUCCCUUCUCUCACAUGAUCAUGCAGGAAUCAAUCCCGCCAAACUUCAAUCUCCCUCAAUUUGAAAGCUACGACGGGACUUCGGACCCAGUUGACCACCUGGAG